AGAGGUCUGGCUGCUGGAAUGCCCCUGAAUGGAGGCACCCUUGCAGUGCUGCACAAUGUCCUCAGCAGCUACGCAGUACCGCCUGGGCCGCUGGCCUUUUGCUUCAGCUGCGGGAUGAGUCAGUGUGAGCAGGAAGCACCCCCAGCACAGGCCUGCGGUGAGUCAGGGGAAGCAGAACCCAGAACAGCAGGGAGCGGCCACCUGGCAGGUGGCCCAAAAGCCAUAUUGUGCCUGAGGACAGCAAGGAGAGGGGCAGUUCUCCACAAGAAUUAAAGUUGCAAAAGCCUCUCUACUCUCAAUAAUUUCAGCAGUCAGAUGCUUUUUAUUUUCCCAAAGCCCACAGAUGUGUCAUGCUCCUCAGACACUCACUCAGAGGGAAAUGCUUACUGGAGAAGAGGCAAUCAUAGUGCCUUAAUCUUUUUAUAAUGGGAAAAGAGGUUAAGUGAAGCUCCUUUAGACACAGGCUUAAUAUCUAGCCUGGUUCUAGGGCCAGGAUUUUAAAGUCCUCAAACAGUCUCAUUUAUUUGAUCUGAAAAACAGAAAACUAAAAAUCAAAUGCAGUUAAUUUUUUUUUUUUUUUUGGUGGGUGGGGGAUGGAAGAAAGGAGGAGGAGAGAAAAAUCAAACUGAGUUAUAUGGAGAUCACAGAACACACUGGAGUCAGUAAACAGAAUGGACCCACAAAUCUCCAUCAGUGGAAUCUUGAACAAAGGGACUGAGGAAGAGUCCAAAGAAUGAACAAGGAGCUUCUAAGCCUCAGUUACAGAGAGACACCAGGGGAGUGAGACGUGGUUUUAAGAAAUAAGAGGUGGCAAAUUUAGCCAAAAGCAAGACCCUCUCCCUCCACAGAGGCACGCUUCAAGAGAUAACCUGGUGUUUGGAGACUGUCCUCAGGACAACCUUGCAGGCAUGAGCUGAAGAUGGCAGGAACAAGGAGGGAAGGAGCCUGGGUCACUGUGUCACCCCCAAAAAGAGAGUCACCUCCAUCCAGGAAAACUUGGAUUGAAUGGAGACAAAGUGGUUCCAGUCUCAACUCCUGGUCUCAAGCAGAAGCCCAACUAAUUUUUAAAAUUUUUUAUAGAGAUGGGGUCUCUCUCUGUCGCCCAUGCUGGCCUCAAACUCUCGGCCUCCCAAAGCACUAGAAUUAUAGGUGUGAGCCACUGCACCCAGGCCAUAAAAUUUCAAGAUGUAGCCAGUUCCAACUCGCUUCUCCCAAGUUCUCACAAUUGAAACUUAGUCUUUUCCAUAAUACCAUUGAUGAGAUCUUCAGUCCCCUGCCCCUGCCUGCCUGCACUGACCAAACGCAAAAGGAUAGGGAGCCUGCAGAGAAGGGAGAUCCCUAUGUCCUGUGUAGUCAAGGGCAGGCUUCCUUAUGGCAGAAGCAAACUUUAAACCAGGAAAAUGAGCCUCACCCAGGGAUGCCCUCUACUGCCGUACACCCCACCACUCAGCCUUGGAGUGCCUGUGUGCAGAGCAGGGCUGAGGCAUGGUGCUGCUUUGGUGGUCUAGGUUUGCUGCAGGGCCAGGUGGCCUGAGCUCCAGGCAGGAUCUCUGGCUGCACUCAGCCCCUUCUGCCUCCCCAAAUGCUCUAUAUCACUAUUUGUACACUGAGCAGAGUAAAGUUAGAGAGAACUGUUUUAUAGAAUAGGGCUGGCCUCCCCCUCCCCUGGCCUACGUGAUGGUCCUUCCUGGCUGCCAGGUACUUGUUUGUAUUAGAGACAGACACUCCACGGGGUCUGUUGUGGCCCACAGCACAUAGGCAAUCAGAGGCAGAAAGCAGAGCUGUUUGGACCCACAGAGGGCCGGCUGUCUGCCACUGAAAUGUCUUUCCAGUUGGUUGAGAAGCAGCAGGAUACUCUGCUGGUGAUGUCUGAAAGUCCCAGGAUUCUUUGGGUCUCCAAGGAGAUCCUAGCAUAUACCACUGUCGUGGUUUUAAUAAAGAGCAAAAACACUUUCAGAUAGGGAGAAGAGUGGAACAAAAGGUAUUCUUCCUGGGUUGAAGUCUGGGGGAAAGGCAUUGAGAAGACUGGGCUAAUGGCACAAACCAAUGAAGUACUCAAGUCACCUGUGAUGGAGGCCAGUCAUCCAAUGGUACCAACUUUGUAUGUGGCAACACUUAAUAAAAAUCUGAACAGGUCUUCACUUGUGGACACAGUAGACUUUCUUGAAAAAGGACAGAAAAGUGAGCCCUGUGAAUUUUCAUCUCACGGACUGACAACAAUGACUUGCCUUUAAGGACAGACAUGGUCACUCAAGAUGAAGAUGCAACAAAAUCCUUCCAGUUCCAAGUGGCUGAUGAAAAAAAAAAUCUUAAAAGCAUCACAGAACAACGGAGAAAGAGGUCAGAAGACUAUAACAGAUAGUUUGAAUUUUAAAACUCAGAGAAAAGCAACUGAGGAGGAAAUACACUGCUUAGAAAGAAGAAACUUCUCCAAGUAUAUAGAAACAUGAACUAUACGUAUCAGAUGCACAGCAUCUACAAAAAGAUGGCUGAAGACAUGGAAAAAAGAAUUAGAGAGCCAUUUUCUUCUAUCAAAGUGAUCUUCUAUAAGAAGAGAGCUCAGGAAAGUUGGAUGGCUGCUCUGUCAACUGAGAGAAAGCUUAAUGAACUAAGAAAAGAAAAUGGUAACAAAUACUAGAUAACAGAGCUCAUGUUCCAGCCUUUCCCAAGGCCCUUGUGUUCCUGCUGUUCCACAUGCAGCCCACAGAGGCCUAAAAGCAUCAGAGGACCCCCUGGAUCAUCAGGCCCCCAAGAAGGAGGAGGGUCAAGCUAUAAGGGUUCAGGGAUCUAGGGUCACAGGCAGGUUGACUCGGAUUUCAAGCAGCCAACCCUGAACAUCCACAACCACAGCAAGACAUUUGACUGUUUUCUCUUUUUAAAAGUACUUUUGAUUGCUCUCUUUUUAGUUUAACUGCUGUUAUUUAAUCGAUGCUAUGUUAUUUAUGUUUGACAGCAUUAAAACACCUAAGA
Molecule: long non-coding RNA, 2970 nt
Organism: Gorilla gorilla gorilla (western lowland gorilla)
Lineage: Eukaryota; Metazoa; Chordata; Mammalia; Primates; Hominidae
Exons: 2
Source: RefSeq, a predicted model, not a curated record